UUGCUUUGGCAGUACAUAUACAAAAAAAUGUAACAUUGCAGAAAAGAUUAGUAUGGCCCUUGUGCAAGGAUGCCAAACAAAUUCUUGACGCUUUCCAUAUUUUU
Small nuclear RNA from Protopterus annectens (West African lungfish), 104 nucleotides. The record is from RefSeq and is a predicted model, not a curated record. NCBI's taxonomy places the organism in Eukaryota, Metazoa, Chordata, Ceratodontiformes, Protopteridae.